This 468-nucleotide ribosomal RNA is filed under the name uncultured bacterium. RNAcentral describes it as "partial 16S ribosomal RNA". It matches the Rfam family "Bacterial small subunit ribosomal RNA", at positions 28 to 507 of the family's 1533-position model. The record is from RNAcentral.
GACGAACGCUGGCGGCGUGCUUAACACAUGCAAGUCGAACGGAAAGGCCCUGCUUUUGUGGGGUGCUCGAGUGGCGAACGGGUGAGUAACACGUGAGUAACCUGCCCUUGACUUUGGGAUAACUUCAGGAAACUGGGGCUAAUACCGGAUAGGAGCUCCUGCUGCAUGGUGGGGGUUGGAAAGUUUCGGCGGUUGGGGAUGGACUCGCGGCUUAUCAGCUUGUUGGUGGGGUAGUGGCUUACCAAGGCUUUGACGGGUAGCCGGCCUGAGAGGGUGACCGGCAACAUUGAUACUAAGUUCAGGCCCAGACUCGUACGCAAGGCAGCCGGGGGGGAUAGUAAAAUAUGGACAAGUGAAAGAUGCAGCAGCGCUAAGUGAGUGAAGCCGGCUUUUGGGAGUAGGCCCACUUUGAACUGGGACAAAGCUAGAGUGACGGUAAUGGGUAGGAAAGAACCGGCUAGCUACAUG